AAAAAAGGCGAGAAGAAAAAAACGUGUUUCUCUUCCGUUGACCCGCGCCACGCCGCGCCGGCACACGGGCGGAAUAGAAGAAAAGGCAAUGCAGUAACAAAAAAAAGAAGAGCGCAAAAGGAUGGUGUCGCGCACGCUGGUUUCAGAGUUUACGCGCUCGCUCGCCCAAGGCCUCUGCCGUCGGCUGUCGUCUCCUCCCGGGUCGGCCAGAGAAAGGACACAACCGCGUCGCGGCUCGUCGCGUCGCUGGGCACCACGUGGCCCCAUCGAUGCGCCAACCGCGUAGGCGGCACGGUGUAAACAGCCGCGAGGCGGUGGACAUCCUCCUCGGUGCAGAGCGUGUCUUUGGUGCCGUGGCCGAUCAGUGCGCGCACAUGGGGACCGACCGGAGCGAGCCUGCUCAGUCCUGGGUCUUGGACGCCCGAAGCGCCAAAGAGGACGACACGCUCACAACCGGGCACAGCGCCGGAUUGCAAGAGGAGCGUUGCCAGCACGGCGCCCUGAGAAAACCCGACGACGGCGUCGACGCUGCGCCCGCCGAGCGCCUCCUUGAUGGCAUCCCAUGUUUGGUCAAACUCUUGGUAGACGAAUGCGUCGUCGAGUCGCAUGGUGGGGCGACGCCACCAGGCGCGGCCCGGCGGUGGGUCGAGCGCAACGGGCGCCGUGGGGUAGACGAUGGUCGCAGGCCGGUGACCGGCAGGUGCCUUGAGGAGGCGCUUUAGCGGACGCGCCAGAUCGUCGUUGGUUUGCCCGUAGCCGUGCAGUGCCAACACGACAAGCGCCUUCCCUUGGUCUUUGGCCGUGGUCGGAUCGCUUUUCCUCGCGGCCAUGGUCUUUUUCCGUACUCUUUUUCUUUGGUUCUUUUGGUUUUUGUUGUUGUUGUUGCCCUCUCACGAUAAGGCGGGGGUGUCCGCGGGCGUGCUCCGUGUCCGUCCUCUGUUUUCUGAUUUUUUGACACGGUUCAGUAGGACGGCCGCCUUUUUGCCGACUGUUUUUAGCGGUUGUCGCGGUGCUGUUUUUUUUAGCGUGGGUGCGCUUCCUGUCUCUUUCUUGCCUGAACAAAAGGGAGCCGAAGCGCGGUGCCUGAUAGGUAGGGAAAAAAAGGGAAUAGGUCGGCGUUGUUUGCCUGCGCGCCUGACGUUCUUUUUUUUGUGCUAACGGUUGUUUUUUUGUUCUUUUCCUUUUUUUCGAGCCGUAGCCGAUGCUGCCCCCCACCCAAGGAGCAGGCGUAUUGGCGUCCGAAAGGGAAAAAAAGGCAAGCGGCCCGCUGAUGUCGACCGCGCCUCUCCCACACGCGCCCCCAAUCCGACGUGUCAAAGCCCUUUUCUGUUGGGGCGCUCAUAAACGAGACGGUUCGCUAUAAAAAAAGCACGUUUUUAGAGAAAAAAAAGUACAACGGCGCGAAAGGGUCGGAGGAAAGAGGCGGCCUGCCCGGUGGCGC
RNAcentral lists this long non-coding RNA (1441 nucleotides) under Pandoravirus neocaledonia. RNAcentral's name for it is "hypothetical ncRNA". The record is from RNAcentral.